RNAcentral lists this ribosomal RNA (505 nucleotides) under uncultured bacterium. RNAcentral describes it as "partial 16S ribosomal RNA". It matches the Rfam family "Bacterial small subunit ribosomal RNA", at positions 28 to 507 of the family's 1533-position model. The record is from RNAcentral.
GACGAACGCUGGCGGCGUGCCUAAUACAUGCAAGUAGAGCGCACAGUUUAUACCGUAGCUUGCUACACCAUAGACUGUGAGUUGCGAACGGGUGAGUAACGCGUAGGUAACCUGCCUGGUAGCGGGGGAUAACUAUUGGAAACGAUAGCUAAUACCGCAUAAUAUUGAUUAUUGCAUGAUAAUUAAUUGAAAGGUGCAAUUGCACCACUACCAGAUGGACCUGCGUUGUAUUAGCUAGUAGGUGAGGUAACGGCUCACCUAGGCGACGAUACAUAGCCGACCUGAGAGGGUGAUCGGCCACACUGGGACUGAGACACGGCCCAGACUCCUACGCGAGGCAGCAGUAGGGAAUCUUCGGCAAUAGACGAAAGUCUGACCGAGCAACGCCGCGUGAGUGAAGAAGGUUUUCGGAUCGUAAAGCUCUGUUGUAAGAGAAGAACGGGUGUGAGAGUGGAAAGUUCACACUGUGACGGUAUCUUACCAGAAAGGGACGGCUAACUACGUG